CAAAUCCUGAGAUGUGAUGCCGAGCCGAUUGUGGCGAAGUGGGUGAUCCUAUGCUGCCGAGAAAAGCCUCUAGUGAGUGUCGUGGCGGCCCGUACCCCAAACCGACUCAGGUGGUCAGGUAGAGAAUACCAAGGCGAUCGGGUGAACUGUGGUUAAGGAACUCGGCAAAUUGCCCCCGUAACUUCGGGAGAAGGGGGGCCUCCGCUGGUGAUCAGACUUGCUUUGUGAGCUGGUGGGGGUCGCAGAGGCCAGGGGGAAGCGACUGUUUACUAAAAACACAGGUCCGUGCGAAGUCGUAAGACGAUGUAUACGGACUGACGCCUGCCCGGUGCUGGAACGUUAAGGGGACCGGUUAGCGCACUUCGGUGUGCGAGGCUGAGAACUUAAGCGCCAGUAAACGGCGGUGGUAACUAUAACCAUCCUAAGGUAGCGAAAUUCCUUGUCGGGUAAGUUCCGACCUGCACGAAUGGCGUAACGACUUCCCCGCUGUCUCAACCGCAGACCCGGCGAAAUUGCACUACGAGUAAAGAUGCUCGUUACGCGCAGCAGGACGGAAAGACCCCGGGACCUUCACUACAGCUUGACAUUGGCGUUUGGAACGUCUUGUGUAGGAUAGGUGGGAGACUGUGAAGCUGUCACGCUAGUGGCGGUGGAGUCAUUGGUGAAAUACCACUCUGGUCGUUUUGAACGUCUAACUUCGGUCCGUGAUCCGGAUCAGGGACAGUGUCUGGUGGGUAGUUUAACUGGGGCGGUUGCCUCCUAAAGAGUAACGGAGGCGCCCAAAGGUUCCCUCAGCCUGGUUGGUAAUCAGGUGUCGAGUGUAAGUGCACAAGGGAGCUUGACUGUGAGACCGACGGGUCGAGCAGGAGCGAAAGCUGGGACUAGUGAUCCGGCGGUGGCAUGUGGAAGCGCCGUCGCUCAACGGCUAAAAGGUACCCCGGGGAUAACAGGCUGAUCUUCCCCAAGAGUCCAUAUCGACGGGAUGGUUUGGCACCUCGAUGUCGGCUCGUCGCAUCCUGGGGCUGGAGUAGGUCCCAAGGGUUGGGCUGUUCGCCCAUUAAAGCGGUACGCGAGCUGGGUUUAGAACGUCGCGAGACAGUUCGGUCCCUAUCCGCUGCGCGCGCAGGAGACUUGAAAGGAGCUGUCCCUAGUACGAGAGGACCGGGACGGACGAACCUCUGGUGUGCCAGUUGUUCCGCCAGGAGCAUGGCUGGUUGGCUACGUUCGGAAGGGAUAACCGCUGAAAGCAUCUAAGCGGGAAGCUCGCCUUGAGAUGAGGUCUCCCACCACGAAAGUGGGUAAGGCCCCCGGGAGACGACCGGGUUGAUAGGCCGGAGGUGGAAGCAUGGUAACGUGUGGAGCUGACCGGUACUAAUAGGCCGAGGACUUGACCAC
RNAcentral lists this ribosomal RNA (1395 nucleotides) under metagenome. RNAcentral's name for it is "bacterial LSU rRNA". It matches the Rfam family "Bacterial large subunit ribosomal RNA", at positions 1550 to 2925 of the family's 2925-position model. The record is from RNAcentral.